This 1140-nucleotide long non-coding RNA is filed under the name Pogona vitticeps (central bearded dragon). Its description in RNAcentral is "lncRNA (ENSPVIG00000003815.1)". Lineage: Eukaryota; Metazoa; Chordata; Lepidosauria; Squamata; Agamidae. The record is from RNAcentral.
ACACAGAUACCCCGUGACGACCGACAGCAUCAUUAUGACAGGACAACAUGGGGUAUGACUCAGGAAAGGGUUCCCGAUCCGUGAUGUAUGCAAGGGAAAUUUAGCCCCUUCUCUUACUGGAUUCCAGGGAAGGGGGUCAUUAGCAGUCAACACCAUGAGUAAGCCUUCCUAGCGCUCCAAUACCGCUGGAUAGACCAACAGUGUCCGAAACGCCUUCUCCCCUCCCACUCAAGGUUAUGACAAGUUGUGAUUGACUCAGCCCGGUGGAAUAGCAACAUGCCAGCCCCCUAAAAAUAGACCACCCUCUUCAUCUUCCCAACAUAGCUCGGGACUUCCAGAUAUAAUCAGCGGCGAGGGGCCAGCCAGAGUCUCAGAGCUACGACCAAGGAGUGGAGCAGGCCUCCGUCUUAGGAUACUCUUAACAACUGGAGCUUCCUCGCGAUUUUUCCCUGUAGGACUUGUUCUUAAAAGGCAGCACCGUCCGGGAUCUCCGGGAACUCUCUAUGAGAAAACGGUGAGAGUUUUUGGUGACUCGGAUAACAGAAGACACAUACCUUACCAAGGACACAAGAUAUCUGGUUUCCCCUCGGUGAAGGAGCGGUCAGUUCUCUAUUUAUCCCACGCAGCUGCUAUCGCUGAUCACCCCAGUGGCCUGACGGAACUAAAUUUCGUACACAAGAUCUCUUCAAAUUCUCUUGAUAACCAGAAAGCAAACCAGGUAGGGAAUUUUAUAAAAAACAGGUAUGGUUGGCUAACAUGAUUUCUGCAGUCAAUAGAAUGGUUCGGGCUUACAAUCAAACUAACCUGGUAUAUAAAAUGCCACUAAAAUAACUAUAGCCCAAUAUGUAGGAAAUCUAUUGAUACUGGGGUGCUUUGUACUUCGCUUGUAAUAUACUGACAUCUUGUCUAAUUUUAUAUAUAUUAUUUCCCAGUAGACAAUACUAGGCAUAUUGUUUACUGGGAAAGGAUUGAGACAUUUCACUUAGCUGGACAAAACUGUCUUCUGAUCUGACGCAGGGGAUGGAUAGAGUGGAUAGAGGGAAGCUCUUUUCCCUCUCAUGCAAUACCAGAAACAGGGGAAAUCCACUCCAAUGGAGUUCUGGGAGAGUGAGAACAGAUCCAAAAAAUAUAUCUUUAUAC